Molecule: long non-coding RNA, 12411 nt
Filed under: Homo sapiens (human)
Lineage: Eukaryota; Metazoa; Chordata; Mammalia; Primates; Hominidae
Description: HSALNT0102441
Source: RNAcentral
CACACAUGACCUCUGUCCUUCCAGCUGCCACCAGUUUCUGGGUUGUCGAGUGAUACCCUGAAAGUUUACAGUCAACACUCCUUGUGUGGGGUCAGUCCUAGAAAUGGCGACGCUGCUCUCCGAAGAUAGGAAAGAAAAGGACCUCAUUCCAUUGAGCCAUUGACCGAAAUAUUUUCUCAACAAAGUUGAACUGAGCUGAAACUGUGUGAAUCAUGGCAAUACAGUGAAAGACAGUGAUUUACUGCUUUUGAGGGCGUGCAUGUAUAUGAUUAACGGAUGGAAGUGCAGGACUCCAAGAUUUACUUCCUUCCCUUUCCAGCAGAAUUACCUGAGACGAGUAAAAUCUACUGGUGGAGUCACUCCAUUAUUCUUAUCUGUGGAGAUCUAGAUCUUGAUUUGAAAGUUUCUGAGAAAAUCUUCAGCUCAGACUUGAGGGUCAACUUUACCAGCUGAAGGAUCUGCAUUUACUGCUCAACCACAUCUAAUUUGAUGUCCUCUGCAGAUUUAAAAUGUGUGCCUUCUUUUCCGUCACCAAGUCAUCCCUGGGUUACUACUGAACAUCCUUCUCAAUUCCCCCCGACCCAUGGAUGGCUGUUCUCCAUUGUCUGUUUCACCAGAUGUCCUCAAAACAAACAGACAGAAGAAGGAAGUGGCUAAUGGAGCUGUGGAGUCCAAGUGUGACUGCCAAGAGGAAUCCAGCAAAGCCAAAAAGCCCAAGCAUGUAGCCCUGCCCGAAGCACGCCACACGCAUGGAAAACCCAGAGGAAAUGAGUGAGGAUCAAUGGGAAGAAGAGAGCCAGCCAGGAAGUUGAAGAUUUGUCCAGGAGCAGAUAGCUGAAGAGAGAGAGAGAGAAGAGAGAACGGCUUACAGCUCAGGUCCUCUCUCCAUGCUUAGGAACCACUACAAAUGCUACUGCCUUGAGUCUCAUUUUGUUUCCCUCUGGAAACCACAUGUGUACCUUGUUUGCAACAGUAUGGUUCUGGAGACCAGAAGGCCAAAAUCAAAAGUAUGGGCAGGCUUGAUUUCUUUAGAAGACUCCAGCGGAGAACUGUGUCUCCUUGCUUCUGAUUCUACAUCUCCAUCCAUGGGCCACUGUUUCAGCAACCUCAGCCAGUGCAACACAACCUCAGCCAAGAAGAGUAUGCAGAGAAAGGAGUCCCCUACCUGCCACAAAACUGUUGUCUGAAAACUGUCUCAUAUUGUCUCAAGUUGUCAUUCAUUGUGAAUUAGACCUGUUUAACAUGUAAUCUGCAACAUGCUUCACUGUCUAAUUUUCCAGAGCCCCUCAUAUAAGGAACUGUAUUAUUGGUAUAAUCAUCAUGGUGAAGAAGUUGGUAUGUGGGGGAGAGAUGACAGAAACAGAGAGUAAGUCAGAGCUGGCUGCCUGACAGAUAAAAAGGAAAUGACCAAAAAAAAAAAAAAAGACACAGAAGAAUACUUUGUUGUCCACACAGAAAAGGGAAGUGUAGGUAAGACAGCAGUAGACUAAGAUUCUUAAGACUCAAGUUCUAGUCUUAUUUAUUAGCUAUGGGAGGCCUUGAGGGAGUUCUAGAAUUAAGUGAUCUCUCUUUAUAAAAUAGGAACAGUAAUAACUUCCUGGCUAACUCCCUGGCUGUCUCACAAUGCUGUAGUAGUAAGAAAUAAUUUUAUAAUUAAAGACUAUUUUAGGGCUGAUUACAUUUUUGGGCAGUGGCUCAUACAUGUAAUUUCAACAUUUUGGGAGGCCAAGGUGGGCGGAUUGCUUGAGCCCAGGAAUUCAAGACCAGGCUGGGCAACACAGACCUUGUCACUACAAAAGAAAAAAACAUUAGCUAGGCGUGGUGAUGUAUGCCUGUGGUCCCAGCUACUCAGGAAGCUGAGACAGGAGGAUCACCUGAGCCUGGGAGGUCGAGGCUACAGUGAGCCAUGAUCACACUACUGCACUCCAGCCUGGGAAACAGAGUGAGACUCUGUCUCAAAAAAAAAAAAAAAGGAAUAUUUUACACUUCAAGGUUCUAUACAAAUGUAAAAUAUCAUUCUAUUACUUAUUUAUAAUGCUGAUUAUUCUUUAAAUGACUUUAAAAUGUUAAUCUCUGCUUGAGCCUACGGAGAAGUAUGUAACAAAUUUGUGAAGGAUUGGCAUUAAACAUAGUCAAAAUAAAACAUAGAAAUUAUGGUAAAUAAUUUAACUGGUAAAAUAAUCUAAGUGGUAGUUCUCAGGUAAGUGGAAAUUCGAUUAGCUGAUUGUUUAGGAUUCUUGGUUAUAAGUGACAGAGACCUGACUAAAAGUACAUGAAGCACAUAACUGAGAAGGUUGUGGUAUGGCUCAGCAGAAAUGGGAAAAUCUUGGGACUGGUUCGUGUUUUAUUUACAUUAUCUUUGUUCCCAGGCAGUCUCUGCAUGUAAGUGGCAAAGAUGACUGUCUGAAAAUAUAUACCUACUUUUUUAAAGGGCUAUCUCAAGCCAUUCUGGAGAAGCACCAAAAGCCACUUUGCUUAUACUGGGAGAAUAGUUUGCUUUCCCUAAUUUGUGAUGAGUGAAACACUGAACAGAGACAUAGAAUAAUAUUCUGUAGUUCAGGGUUGGUGUAAUAUGGCCAGUGGGCGGAAUCUGGUCCUCAGACUGAUUUUGCAAAUAAUCUUAUAGAAACACAGCAACACCCAUUCAUUACAUGUUGUUUAUGGUUGCUUUGGGGUUACAAUGGCAGAGUUGAGUAGUUGUGACAGAGAUCACUAGGCUCACCACAUCUGAGAUAUGUACUGACUGACCCUGUACAGAAAGUUUGCUGCUCUUAGAGGAAUGUGUGUUUCUAGUGUCAGCAAUAAACUUCUUGGAUUUGUUUUGUUUUCUCAUCUUUACAUGAUAGUUGCAGACUAGUUGAUCCUUGUGACCUGUUUUUGAAUGCCACUGUGUAUUCUGUCAGGGCCCUCUGAUUCUGUUUCUUAUGGUGCUGAAUGCACAAUUUAAUGCCCUGGAAUUUCCUUCUGUCUUCUGCUAAACUCAUGCCUCUUCAGAUAGUUAAAAUCCUGUUCUACCUUAGAAGUCUCCAGAGUUAUUUUCCUAAAUUAAGAAGAACUGGCUUUGAAGUUACUCAUUAUGCCACACACAAUGGUUGAAAAGAGCAUCUCUUAUGUACUGUGUAUAUUUCAGCAUCCACUCAGCUUCUUAGGUAGAAAAGGAAGAGUCUUCCACAGUGUAUUUUAUCCAUAUUUGGGUCAGAAACUCUUCUUUACCACGGAGCGUGAUGGAAGAAAGAUAUGGGAUGGUAACAGUAGGCCAGGGAUGUAAUAAUCACAAAAUUUGAGAUAUUUUGUGACUGGUGACUCACGCCUGUGAUCCCAGCAUUUUGGGAGGCCAAAGCGGGCGGAUCACCUGAGGUCAGGAGUUCAAGACCAGCUUGGCCAAUGUAGUGAAACCUCAUCUCUACUAAAAAAAUAUAAAAAUUAGCUGGGUGUGGUGGUGCACACCUGUAAUCCUAGCUACUCAGGAGGCUGAGGCAGGAGAAUAGCUUGAACCAAGGAGGUGGAGGUUGCAGUGAGCUGAGAUUGUGCCACCACUGCAUUCCAGUCUGGGUGACAGAGCGAGACUCUGUCUCAAAAAAAAAAAAAAAAAAAAUCUAGAAAAAGAUCUCCAAGAUUCAAUCAUCUAAUUAUUUCUUUUAAAAAUGAGAAAAAUGACUCCUGGUCAGCUUUUACCUUCUUUUUCCAACUGUCUUGACAAUACUUUCAUAUUGGGCUUUUAAAGUCUCAAGUAAUAGGUUUUUAAAACCUCAGCUGAUAAAAGUAUAAAAAUAAAGUUAAAACAUAUUAAAGACAAAACCCAAGAAUCAGCUUCCUCUUCCUUCAUUACUCUUGCAUGGGUGUUGGCUCUAAUUUCUCCAUCUAGUUAGGCAGUCCUUUGCUUUUUAUUGCUUGUUUAUUGAUGACAUUUGCCAUUUGUAGCAAUAGUAAUAGAAUCAUCUAUAUAUUUGUGGCCUUGUUGAAUGUAGAAAAAGGAUAGUGGCAUUUUCUAAUUGUGUAACCCUAUAACACCUUGACGGGGGACUACAGUUCAUAUGCUGGACCUUUUGUGUUUGUUCAUGGCGGGUGGGUUGCUUUAAUAUACUUAGCACAUUGUCCUAAUUGCCAUCCUUUUGGGGAGGGCUAUAUAUCCAAGCUAAUAUGGUAGCAUUUUUGUUUUAACAUAGAGCUGACCCAAGGUAGACGUAAGUGUUGUUCAUUUUUGCCUAAUACUAAUAAAAUUACCUAAUUGUUGAAGCUUGGAGCUUGAAUCUAGGCAUUUUAUUUCAUUUCAAGUACACCCUAGUAUUUUAAAGCAUAAAUAUCCUACUAUCCUCAACAACUUUAGAACAAAAAUAAAUAUUUUAACAAGAAAAAAGCAUGCCAUGACAAGCUGUAACUUAGUAAAGAAAGACAAGGAAUGGUCUCUAUAGACCGAGAAAAAAUAGGUCCUCAGAUAUAUUUAUACCAAAGGAAUGUUAUGAAUGUAAAAAACAGUUUGACUCCCCCCCCCCCGCCAAAAAAAAACUCCACAACCCUAUAUUUUGUUAUCACAAGACUGUUUUAGUGAAUAAAACAGUAUGAAUUGGUUUUACCUGUUUCCAUUUAAUACUUAUUAACUUUAUAAUCGUAUAGCCUGAGGGUUUUAACUUCAAGUACAGCAUGAUGACUAUAAUAGUUUUACACAAGGCAAAUGUGAAAAACAGAAGUAAUUUCUUUUAAAAAGUGUGAAAUAUCUAAAAGGUAUGACUUCAAUACAUCAACUCAGGUGAGACAGACAUGUAACUUCUUUUUCCAUGUUUAAACCUAAUAUUGCUUUUGUGCCUCUGAAGGCUCGGAGUUUCCAUGCCUUCUUAGGACAUGCCACCCUCUCCACACCUGGAUGUGUUCACCAACCCAGAAGCUCUUGGAACCCCAUCAUUUGGGGUUUUUAUGGAGUCCCCAUUAAGUAGGUAUGACUGAUUAAAUCACUGGCCAUUGGUGGUUGACUCAAUCUCCAGCCUCUCUUCCCUCUCUGAAGGUGAAGGGGUGGGAAGGUGAGGCUAAGUUCCAACCCUCGGAUCACAGGGUUGGUUCCUCUGCAACCAGGCUUCAUCGUGAAACAAUACAGGGCCCACCGAGAGUCACCCCAUUAGCAAACUCAGAUGUGAUUGAAAGGGGCUUAUUAUGAAUAUCAAAAGACAUUUCUCUUUCUCCUAUUACUCAGACAGUUACAAGGGUUUCAGAAGCUCUUGCACCAGGAACUGGGAACAAAGACCAAAUAUAUAUGUCUUCUUCUAUUACAAUGUCACAGGUGUGACAGAGUAGGUAAAUGGAGUCUCAGAGAGUCCCCAGAGUAUUCCAUGGAGCCACAAAAUGAAGAAUAAAUGGAUGGUUCUCCCCAUGAUCAAAAGUGGCCUGAAAAUACUUGAGAAUGAGUCAUAACUUAAAAGGCUGUAUAGUAGAAAAGAAUGCACAGAGGACCGAAUGUAAAAGAAGGCACCCCAGUCUCAGCUAGUGUGGAUGCAUGCCAGUGUAGAAAGAUGCUAGUGUGGCUACAUUGGUGCACUGAAGACCAAACUCCUGCAUGGCCCCACAUCCUUGAUACCUUAGAUCUAUAUCAUCCCCUAAAACUUAGGUGUUAUGACAUUCAGGAUAUGCUACCCCAUCAUUUUUUAGGCUGAAGGAAUUUGAGAAAACAGAAGCAGGAAUGUAAUUGCCCAGUGGGUUCUUCCUGCCCUGUGCACAGACAAAACCAGUUCACUGAGACCAUGGUAUUGCAGUUAAGAAAGAGUUUAACAGGAGGCUGGCCACAUGGAAGAAUUACAGUUAUUACAAAUUAGUCUCCCUGAAGGCUCAGAGGUCAGGGUUUUUCAUGGAUAGUUCGGUGAGCAGUGGAUUAGGGGUAAGUGCUGCUGAUUGGUUGGGGAUACAAUCAUAGGGGUGUGGAAAAUGGUCCUUGUGUGCUGAGUCACCUCUGGGUGGGAGGCCAUGGGACCCAUUGAGUCAUGAGUCACGAGGCUGGGUUGGGUCAGUGUGAAAAACAUCUCAAAAGACCAAUCUUAGGUUCAAAAUAGGUGAUAUUACCUGUAGGAGCAAUUGGGAAAGUUAUAAAUUAUAUGACCUCUUGGCCCCAUGACUUCUGAGCAGUAAGAGAUGAUAGAAACUAAACCUACAUUUUAUCAGCACUCAGGCCUCUUCCAUAAUCCUAAUCUUGUGGCCUUUCGUUAGUCUUAUAAAGGUGGUUUGGUAACUGCCCUCAAGCAAGGAGGGGAUCAGUUUUAGGGAGGUGCUAUUAUCAUCCUUGCUUCAAAGUUAAGCUGUAAACUAAAUUCCUCCCAUAAUUAGCUUGGCCUACACCCAGAAAUGAGCAAAGACAGCCAGCCUGUGAUGUUAGAAGCAAGAUGGAGUUAGUCAUGUUAGAUUUCUCUCACUGUCAUAAUCUUUGCAAGGGAGGUUCCAGGAAGGUCAUCCUACCUUUCCCCUCACCCUUCUCAUGUGACACAGGUCAUAAAGCCUAGGAAGGAUUUUCCGACCUUUCCCUGAAGCAGGUCGUAAGACCCUCAUUGGGGAGGUGCCAUUUCUAGACCAAGAGAAAAGGCACAUCCUUAUGUCUGAAGACACAGGGACACAGAGAAGAAUCUGAACAAACAGGUCUUGCUAAGUUCCCCCCAGUUUGUUUUCAUUAGAUCAUGCCCCUUUAUUCAAUGCUGUUUCUCCACAACUAUCCAUUUCUUCAUCAAGCCUAGCAUAAAAAAUACAGGUUUCACGGUUUCUUUGGGUCUUCAUUUCCUUAUAAAGUCUCCUGUACCAUGUAAAACUUAAAUAAGUUUCUCUGCUUUUCUCUUGUUGAUUCUGUCCUUUGUUUUAUAACCCUCAGACAUGAACCUAGUGAUGAGUGAGGGGAAGAUAAUUUAUUUUCCUCUACAGAUGCAAAAGGGAAAAGGGAACAAUCCCUAAACGGAAGUUAUGAUCCAGGGAUCAGAGGCUCAAAAGCAAGAUUAGGUUUAAAUGUAGAAAAAUACAUUCCUCUUUCAUUUUAGAUAUCCCAAAUGCCCAAAUCAACCCAGCUAUUUCUCAGAAGUCUGUUUCCCCUCCACCCUCUGCUCCUCUGUGUAGUGAAACUGUCUCGUUUGGGAGUAAAAUGGCCUGGCUUUCCUUACUGAGUAUACUCUCAAGACUAUUGCCUAUUACUUUUUUCCAUUCCUUCUUGAGAACUACGCUUUUUAAAACAAGAAUUGACUCCAUUUAUCUUUUUCUUUUAGCCUUCUGCUGGGGUAUGCCUUCUCUAAAGCAAUGAAUAAAAAAUGCUUUAGCUGAAUAAAUGGGGCAAGGAUCAAGGAGUACAAGCUAAUAUUUCACAAUAUUAUCCUGCCAUAAAUAAAAGUAUGGUUUAAAUGACAAUGGUGGGGUUAGGAGUUACAGGUCACUGAAACACCACCUUAUUCAUGCUACCAGCCCCUUGGCUUUCCUGAUGGCAGCAGGGAAGCAACACAUAGGUAGAAUUAUGAGCCAACAUCGUGACUGGAGAGGGAUUGAAAAUCUUAUUUGUUGUCUUCCUAGACUAUUACAGUUAUCUGUUGAAAUUAGACUCAAUUCUUUGGCGAAAGUACUCAUUUUUAAGGUCCAUAAUAAAUUGUAACUAUGUAGCCUUUGUUGCAUGAGUUUAGUAUGAGCUGAUUGGUGGGCCACAGUGAAAGGCAGAGGGAAAUGGAUGUUAACUAAGAGGUAGAAGUCCCCUUGAAGUUCUGACCCUGUCACUAAUGAAGUCUUUAUUUCCGUAUUUAGUAAUUGCCUUUUUUUUUUUUUUUUGAGACAGAGUCUUGCUCUGUCGCCAGGAUGGGGUACAGUGGCACAGUAUCUGCUCACUGCAACCUCCGCCUCCCAGGUUCAAGCAGUUCCCCUGCCUCAGCUUCCUGAAUAGCUGGGACUACAGGUGUCUGCCGCCAUGCCUGGCUAAUUUUUGUAUUUUUAGUAGAGACGGGGUUUCACUAUGUUGGCCAGGAUGGUCUCGAUCUCCUGACCUCGUGAUCUGCCCACCUCAGCCUCCCAAAGCUAGGAUUACAGACGUGAGCCACCAUGCCCGGCCAACUGCCUUCUUUAUAUCUCAUUUUAAAAAUUUAUAACAAAGAAGUGGGUUGAUUUUCAAGACCUAGUUGUGUUAGUUUGAAUGAGAUGCAUACAUUUGGCAAGUCUGGGGUCUAAGAAAAGAUAAAGAUCUGAAUGCUGAAAAUCUAGAGAAUUCAGGUUACUGGGGGAUAACUUAAAGUCACUAGGGAAUUCGGGUUACUGGGGGGAUAACUUAAGGUCACUAGGGAAUUCGGGUUACUGGGGGGAUAACUUAAGGUCACUAGAACCCAAAUGCAGGGAAGAGUUGGGUGCUCUUUGGCAAAUAAACAUUCCUGACUUAGCAUUUUUCUUAAACCCGAACGUGCCAGCUGUUUUUUUGUUUUUUUGUUUUUUUGUUUUGUGACCUCAGCCAGGCUUGCGUGUUUAUUCAUCACAUAUUCUAAGCUCAUAUACAACUGUGACCUGAUCCAGCCUUCAAGGAACUCACUCUUGAUUUUAGGAAUCUUUCCACCACUUCGAUUUCAUCUUACUCCUGAAACAGUCAGCCAGAACUGUCUAAUUCAGUCUAUACUUCUGAUACAAAACUCUACCCAGCAACCACUAUGGUUUUGUUGCUUUAGGUACGUGUUAGAAAGCACCCACAUCAAUUUACAGAAAAUCCUUAACUGAAUCUCUAGUCCCAGAGGAGUCAUAUUUUAUUAUAUGGUGCUUUUUAUUUAAAGAGAUCGGUUUAAUAGAAAUUACUCAGGCAUUUGAAGUGAUAGCUUUAAAAUGUGGGACUGGGGAAAAUAAGAACACUUGACCUCUCUCCAUAAAAUUGAAUUGUUCUUUAGGUUUAAAGUUUUGACAGACAAAGAGAAAGUGAGAGCAAGUGAGGGUGAAAAUAUAUCCUUAUUUGGUAAUGAGUACCCAUUAAGAGGACAGUAUAUUACAUUUCAUCUUCUUACUUCACAUUCCUGUUUUAAGGAUUUGUGAGCAAAGUGCUGUGAGACCUCUAGAGUUAAGAGGCUGGAGAUAGGUAGUUUUGAUGGUAUUUUAAGGAGUGCUCCAUAAUGUGUAGUGUCUGAGUGCUGAAGCUUAAUCAGCUUCAAUUAAAUCCAAAACAUACUGAAUAGCUCCUAUGUGUCUGGCAUUGAGCUGUGUGCCAAAGUGGUGGAAAGAUGUAAGAGCCACUGAGGCUUAGAGAUGAAAAGGAUCUUGGAGCCACUGGUUUCCUGCCUGCUGGAGUUUCACCAUCAAGGACCCUUUCGUUAUUUUCCUUCUCCCAUGCAUUUUAUUAAAAUUUUUGGUUUAGUAAACCAAAUUCACUAAUGGGAUGUUAUUUUCAUAUCAAAGAGUAUAAUUCUGCCAAUCAAGGCUUCUGAUCAGCAUAAAAUAAUUAGGUUUCAUACUGAAUGCACAAAUUCUAGUCAAAAGCAAAGCCAUUUGAUGACAUGUCUGCUAUGUUGCCAUUUGCUUUAAGAGAGGUAAAGGUAGCCUGACUUCUGUUCACUCUGUAGUACAGAAUACAUUGUUAACAAGUCAUAGGUAUGUUCUUUUAGGUUUCUAAUUACUGUCAGCCUCUCAUUUCAGACAGGUGAUGUGAUAAGGUGAAAUGAUUACUAUAUUUAGACUCAAAAGUCCUGAGUUUGAGUCCUCGUUUAACGAUCUAGUCCAUGAGCUUCAGUUUUCUCACCUGUUAAAUGGAAAUGAUGAUUAUUUCCUGGAAAUUGCAUUUCCAGGUUGUUUUGAAUGAUAAAUGAUAUGGUGUAUAUAUCAGCUGUUUGCAAACCAGAAAAAGCUAUUCUAUGGUAAACACAUGCAGUGGGCUGAAUUGUGUCUCCCAAAAUUCAUAUGUUGAAGUCCUCACCCCCAGGGCCUCAGAAUGUGACUGUAUUUGGAUCUAGGGUCUUCAAGAGAUAACUAAGUUAGAAUGAGGUCAUUUGGGUUGAUCCUAAUCCAACUGACUGAUAUCCUUAUAAGACGACGAAAUUUGGAUACAGAAAUACACAGAAGACAGGGAGAAGAUGGCCAUCUACAAGCUAAGGAGAGAGGCCUCAGAAGAAACACACCUGCCACACCUUGAAUUUGGACUUCUAGCCAUCAGAACUGUGGGAAAAUAAAUUUCUGUUGUUUAAGCCAGGAGUCCUCAACCCCCGGGCUGUGGACCUGUACCAGUCGGUGGCAUGUUAAGGACUGGGCUCCACAGCAGGAGGUGAGUGGUGGGCGAGUGAGCAUUACUGCCUGAGCUCCACCUCCCGUCAGAUCAGCAGUGGCAUUAGAUUCUCAUAGGAGCACAAACCCUAUUGUAAACUGAGCACGCAAGGGAUCUAGGUUGUGCGCUCCUUACGAGAAUCUAAUGCCUGAUAAUCUGAGAUUGAACAGUUUUAUCCCCAAACCAUCCCCUCCACCACCCCCGUGGUCUGUGGAAAAAUUGUCUUCCACAAAACUGGUCCCUGGUGCCGAAAAGGUUAGGGACCAGCGGCUCAAGCCACCCAGCCUGUGGUACUUUGUUACGGUAGCCCUGGCAAAUGAAUACAACACGUUUUAGACUAUGAUGUUACACAUGCAGUGUGUUGAGAGCCAAAGAACCCAAAUGAUUCGUGGUAUCUGCCCUUGAAGAGUUUUUAAUCUUUUUGGGCAUGAUGAAACAUACACAUGGAAAAUAAAAUAGCAUAUAACCAAGUGCCCAAAUCAGUAAUAAAUACAGUUGACUCCAUAAACAUUUAGGAACCUUCUAUCCCAUGUUUCCACAUUCUAUCCCAGUGGCUUUUGCCACUAAAUUUCUUCACCCACUAUUAGACUGAUGUUUUCAUCUUUCAGUAUCAGACUCAAGCUUUAAUCUAGAAAGAGGGGGUGGGGGGAUAAAUGCUAUACUUUGGAACCAGUCCGGAUAUUUUAAGUAUGUUUUUAAAAAGUAUAAUCCUCACAACAUGAAAGUUAUUAGUUCUAUUUUUCAGGUGAGAAGAGUUAAGGUCAAACAGACGAAAGCUAGUUAGUGGAGGGACUGGUAUUCCAAGCCCAUUCUGGUUAAACUAAAUCUUGUGUUCUUUCCACUAGAAAACUGCUUUUUGUCUUAAUUAUAAUUUUGUGACAAGGAUGUAUAGUCCAUUAAGGAAUAUAUACAACAGAAGAAGCAUUUAAGUGGACUUGAGUUUGUUAGACUUUGGAUGGUGGAGACCUGUGCCUGCUACUUCUCUCAUCUCCUGAUACCUAAUGCAUAGUGUUCAGUAAGUAUUUAUUUGGUGAUAACAAUAUCAAAAACUAGAUAAUGCUUAGAAGAUCCAACACCUUCCAAAAUCUCUGUUAACCAGGUACUGAAAUAUGGUCAACCAGAUGAGCUGAAAUGUCAAGAACUUAUAGACACACAUGGUUUCAUGGUUGUGAAACUAGAAGAUGUGGCAUAUUUUACACAAUGGAGGGAAGAGCAAAGGUUAUGCAUGUGCGGAGGCAGAGCCCCUAGGCAGGUUUCCCUCUUUUCCUUCCUGUGCACUGAUUUUUAUUUUGGUGAACUGAAACAGGGGUCUAACAAACUGGUAUCUCAUUUGUCUUUAUAAACAGAACUGCCAGAUUGGCUUUGCAAUUCAGGGCCCUGUAGGGUGCCCACCUCCUCAGUUUGGGCAGCAGCAUUACAUCUGAGUCUUAGAAUAAAAAUGGAAAGCAAUGGCUCAACCCAUUGGUUUGUCACCAUCCACAUGAAGGAUCUCUAUUGGUAAAAAAACAGACUCCCGUGUUCAAGGCCCUGGGGCUGGAAUCAAAUCCAUCAUUCAUUUAUUUCGGUUUUUUAAGGCUAAAUACAUAGGGAAGAAAAUGAAAUGUGAGAAAGCUGUGCAUUUUCAAUGUCAUCUUGAAAGUGAGUAUCUUUAGACACAUAAAGUAGAUGAGUGGUUAACUUGGGCUGGGAGAGGGAGUGAGGAGUGGUUGUACAUGGCACAAGGUUUCUAUUUAGUGUGAUUGAAAUGUUCUAUAAUUUGAUUGAUGAUUGUACAGUUCUGUAAAUAAACUAAAAUGUAUUGAAUUGUAUAAUUAAAACAUGCAGAUUUUAUAUUUAAAAUAUACUUUGAUAAAAGUGUUUUAAAAAUGAAUAUCUCAUAGGGUAGAAUGAAAUGAAUAAGAGAAACAGUGAGGCAUCCAGGGGACUUUCUGCACAGUGGGUCUGUCAUUAGGCAGGUACGUUGCCACAGCCAGUUCUAAUGCCCACUCAUAGGCCAAUGCCUAGGACAAUUGCUCAGAUAUCGCCUCUGACAGGCAAGUGUUCCAUCAGUAACAGCAGGCAUCGGAAGAUGAUGCCAUUCCCUGCUGUUAGUAUGAUUAUAUUGACUUAGGUUUUUAAUUUUCUUUCUUGCUGUGUUUUUUUUUUUUCACCUUCUUAGCCUCUAAAGCAUGAACAUCUGUGUUUUUCAG